UGCCUCUCCCAUGGUUCUUUGUGACACUGACUGUGACUGUUUUCUCCAUGCACACUCUGUCUUUGGAUAAUGGGGUUGCUAUCCUGUUUUUCAUAUCAGGAUUCUCCUCUUCUGCUCGUGUGUUUAUGGAAAAUCAGCUCUCUACCGGGCUGUGUCUGGGGAAGUAGCUUUGGCCUCAGCCAAGCAGAGCCGAGUCACAGAGAGCAGUUCCAGGGCCAGGCGAAGUGAAUUCAAGCCCCUGGCUGGGGGAAGCGUUCGUUGGCCAUUUCUGGAGUUAGAUGCCAGCCAUCUGUCCAACUGCUGGGCAGGGAAGAUAAACACUGCAGCCCUGGGAGCCCUGCAGAGAGCAGAGGAAAGAAUUCUUGAGGACCCCCACCCCACACGUUUCGAAAGGAGACAUAAUCAGCAAACGGCUCGAAAAGCAGCUAACUUAAGAGUAAAUAACGAUCAAGAGGUACCAUGGAAGAGACAAUGUCCUGUUGGCCAGCACAAUUAAAAUCAAUAUCACUGAGGCAGAAGACUCAGCGGCAGCUCGACUGUGUGUGGCUCCAACUCACAGAUGACUCAUGAAGAGAGAGGUGUAGUUCGGCCCAGAACCUCAGGUGUUGGCGUCUCUGUGGUGCAGAGGGAACGGCACAGCAGAGCAGCCCAAGUCAUGGUGGCCAGGCAGCAGAAAGCAGGAUGACUUCCUUUAUCACUGGGGUUUUGUUCUUGUCUGCUUUUCAUUCUGUGUGACUCCCAGGCUAUGGGCUGGCUCUGCUUACAGUGUGAAUAAGUGUUCCUUCUUGUUAAUUCUCUGGUAACUGCCCUGAAGUGUACUUGUGUCAAGGCUACCACACAGACCAUCAGCACUAACCCUCAUGAGAACAGCCACAGCCUGGCAGGGUGGUUGUGUUUGUGGAGGUGAUGGCAGUAGUGGUGUGUGAUUUCCUUACACACUGCUUGGUUCCCUAAUUCCUUAUCAGAAUCUCAUUUGUCUCCCUAAGUUCCCCUCAGUCACUUAGCUCGGCAUGCACACACCACAGCCUAAUGGGCGUGGUUUCAUCAGAGAGCAGUACAGGGGACAGCAGGCAACUGCAGGAAAGUGUGGUGACCUCAAAGCCCGGGGACACCUAUCAUCUAGUCGAUGUCUGUCUACGAUGCUCGGGACUCCCAACCUUGCUUGCAGACUUGGGUGGGUAAACGUUCUUGAACCAAUUCCAAAUGGGAGGGGGACUUUUUGAGAUGGGCUGAACACAUAAAUAAUCUUGAGGACAUUUGUUGAUGAUAUGGGGUCAACAUGAAAUUCUAAAUGGAGACUCUCACAGAAGAAUCCAGGAUGAUGAUGGCCGAUGAUCCCGUGGUCACCAUUGUGCUAAUGAGGGGCAGUGGAUCCUAAUGGUGGGGCCCACCUGCUGGCUUUUGUGUAGUCCUUUAUCUAGCAGCAUCUGGAGGAUGGGGUUGGAUGUCCCUGUCCAUUGGUCCUGCCCUAUGGUCCUGUCCGUCUAAGCCUCUGAGCCUCCUCUUCCACAGGGCCCUGGUGCAGCCAUGCAGGGACCCUUCAUGCCCAAGAACACAGACAAAUGUGGGAAAGCCCAGGAGCUAACUUCUUUGUCUUUAGGUCACACACACACACACACACACACACACACACAGGCCAAGGCAUUCAUAGGUGGAAGUUGCUAUGAGUUUGUGGUGACGCGCUCCUGAAUAGGAAGCCGAGGACCUCGGAGCAAAUGAA
This 1720-nucleotide long non-coding RNA is filed under the name Rattus norvegicus (Norway rat). RNAcentral describes it as "partial HAfT6 variant X1". The record is from RNAcentral. Lineage: Eukaryota; Metazoa; Chordata; Mammalia; Rodentia; Muridae.